This 496-nucleotide ribosomal RNA is filed under the name uncultured bacterium. RNAcentral describes it as "partial 16S ribosomal RNA". It matches the Rfam family "Bacterial small subunit ribosomal RNA", at positions 28 to 507 of the family's 1533-position model. The record is from RNAcentral.
GACGAACGCUGGCGGCGUGCCUAAUACAUGCAAGUAGAACGCUGAAGAGAGGAGCUUGCUCUUCUUGGAUGAGUUGCGAACGGGUGAGUAACGCGUAGGUAACCUGCCUUGUAGCGGGGGAUAACUAUUGGAAACGAUAGCUAAUACCGCAUAACAAUGGAUGACACAUGUCAUUUAUUUGAAAGGGGCAAUUGCUCCACUACAAGAUGGACCUGCGUUGUAUUAGCUAGUAGGUGAGGUAAUGGCUCACCUAGGCGACGAUACAUAGCCGACCUGAGAGGGUGAUCGGCCACACUGGGACUGAGACACGGCCCAGACUCCUACGGGAGGCAGCAGUAGGGAAUCUUGGCAAUGGGGGCAACCCUGACCGAGCAACGCCGCGUGAGUGAAGAAGGUUUUCGGAUCGUAAAGCUCUGUUGUAAGUCAAGAACGGGUGUGAGAGUGGAAAGUUCACACUGUGACGGUAGCUUACCAGAAAGGGACGGCUAACUACGUG